RNAcentral lists this ribosomal RNA (253 nucleotides) under uncultured bacterium. RNAcentral's name for it is "partial 16S ribosomal RNA". It matches the Rfam family "Bacterial small subunit ribosomal RNA", at positions 524 to 776 of the family's 1533-position model. The record is from RNAcentral.
UACGGAGGGUGCAAGCGUUAUCCGGAUUCACUGGGUUUAAAGGGUGCGUAGGUGGGUCUGUAAGUCAGUGGUGAAAUCUCCGUGCUUAACAUGGAAACUGCCAUUGAUACUAUAGAUCUUGAAUUUUCCGGAGGUCAGCGGAAUAUGUCAUGUAGCGGUGAAAUGCUUAGAUAUGACAUAGAACACCGAUUGCGAAGGCAGCUGACUACAGGGACAUUGACACUGAGGCUCGAAAGCGUGGGGAUCAAACAGG